This 378-nucleotide ribosomal RNA is filed under the name Klebsiella pneumoniae. RNAcentral describes it as "bacterial SSU rRNA". It matches the Rfam family "Bacterial small subunit ribosomal RNA", at positions 1149 to 1526 of the family's 1533-position model. The record is from RNAcentral. RNAcentral also lists the same sequence under 1 other name. Lineage: Bacteria; Pseudomonadati; Pseudomonadota; Gammaproteobacteria; Enterobacterales; Enterobacteriaceae.
CUGCCAGUGAUAAACUGGAGGAAGGUGGGGAUGACGUCAAGUCAUCAUGGCCCUUACGACCAGGGCUACACACGUGCUACAAUGGCAUAUACAAAGAGAAGCGACCUCGCGAGAGCAAGCGGACCUCAUAAAGUAUGUCGUAGUCCGGAUUGGAGUCUGCAACUCGACUCCAUGAAGUCGGAAUCGCUAGUAAUCGUAGAUCAGAAUGCUACGGUGAAUACGUUCCCGGGCCUUGUACACACCGCCCGUCACACCAUGGGAGUGGGUUGCAAAAGAAGUAGGUAGCUUAACCUUCGGGAGGGCGCUUACCACUUUGUGAUUCAUGACUGGGGUGAAGUCGUAACAAGGUAACCGUAGGGGAACCUGCGGUUGGAUCAC